This 654-nucleotide ribosomal RNA is filed under the name uncultured bacterium. RNAcentral's name for it is "bacterial SSU rRNA". It matches the Rfam family "Bacterial small subunit ribosomal RNA", at positions 84 to 735 of the family's 1533-position model. The record is from RNAcentral.
CCUGAUGGCGAGUGGCGAACGGGUGAGUAAAACAUCGGAACGUGCCGUGUAGAGGGGGACAACGUAGCGAAAGUUACGCUAAUACCGCAUACGCACCACGGUGGAAAGCGGGGACCUUCGGGCCUCGCGCUAUACGAUCGGCCGAUGACUGAUUAGCUAGUUGGUGGGGUAAAGGCCUACCAAGGCGACGAUCAGUAGCGGGUCUGAGAGGACGAUCCGCCACACUGGGACUGAGACACGGCCCAGACUCCUACGGGAGGCAGCAGUGGGGAAUUUUGGACAAUGGGGGCAACCCUGAUCCAGCCAUGCCGCGUGCGUGAAGAAGGCCUUCGGGUUGUAAAGCGCUUUUGUCUAGGAGGAAAGCCUAACUUUUAAUAAAAGUUAGGGCUGACAGUACUAGGAGAAUAAGCACCGGCUAACUACGUGCCAGCAGCCGCGGUAAUACGUAGGGUGCAAGCGUUAAUCGGAAUUACUGGGCGUAAAGGGUGCGCAGGCGGCAAGAUAAGCCAGAUGUGAAAUCCCCGAGCUUAACUUGGGAACUGCGUUUGGAACUGUCUAGCUAGAGUUAGUCAGAGGGGGGUAGAAUUCCGCGUGUAGCAGUGAAAUGCGUAGAGAUGCGGAGGAAUACCGAUGGCGAAGGCAGCCCCCUGGGAU